GGUUGACCUCGGAUCAGGUAGGGAUACCCGCUGAACUUAAGCAUAUCAAUAAGCGGAGGAAAAGAAACCAACCGGGAUUGCCUCAGUAACGGCGAGUGAAGCGGCAAGAGCUCAAAUUUGAAAUCUGGCCCCUCCGGGGUCCGAGUUGUAAUUUGUAGAGGAUGCUUCGGGUGCGGCCCCUGUCUAAGUGCCCUGGAACGGGCCAUCGGAGAGGGUGAGAAUCCCGUCUGGGAUGGGGUGUCCGUGCCCGUGUGAAGCUCCUUCGACGAGUCGAGUUGUUUGGGAAUGCAGCUCUAAAUGGGUGGUAAAUUUCAUCUAAAGCUAAAUACUGGCCGGAGACCGAUAGCGCACAAGUAGAGUGAUCGAAAGAUGAAAAGCACUUUGAAAAGAGAGUUAAACAGCACGUGAAAUUGUUGAAAGGGAAGCGCUUGCGACCAGACUCGCCCACGGGGUUCAGCCGGCUUUCGGGCCGGUGUACUUCCCCGGGGGCGGGCCAGCGUCGGUUUGGGCGGCCGGUCAAAGGCCCCCGGAAUGUAACGCCCCUCCGGGGGCGUCUUAUAGCCGGGGGUGUCAUGCGGCCAGCCUAGACCGAGGAACGCGCUUCGGCACGGACGCUGGCAUAAUGGUCGCAAACGACC
This 638-nucleotide ribosomal RNA is filed under the name Aspergillus penicillioides. RNAcentral's name for it is "eukaryotic LSU rRNA". It matches the Rfam family "Eukaryotic large subunit ribosomal RNA", at positions 1 to 649 of the family's 3401-position model. The record is from RNAcentral. Lineage: Eukaryota; Fungi; Ascomycota; Eurotiomycetes; Eurotiales; Aspergillaceae.